Molecule: transfer RNA, 77 nt
Filed under: Bacillota bacterium
Lineage: Bacteria; Bacillati; Bacillota
Description: Firmicutes bacterium (anaerobic digester metagenome) tRNA-Pro
Rfam family: tRNA
About the family: Transfer RNA (tRNA) molecules are approximately 80 nucleotides in length. Their secondary structure includes four short double-helical elements and three loops (D, anti-codon, and T loops). Further hydrogen bonds mediate the characteristic L-shaped molecular structure. tRNAs have two regions of fundamental functional importance: the anti-codon, which is responsible for specific mRNA codon recognition, and the 3' end, to which the tRNAs corresponding amino acid is attached (by aminoacyl-tRNA synthetases). tRNAs cope with the degeneracy of the genetic code in two manners: having more than one tRNA (with a specific anti-codon) for a particular amino acid; and 'wobble' base-pairing, i.e. permitting non-standard base-pairing at the 3rd anti-codon position.
Source: RNAcentral
CGGGGCGUAGCGCAGAUGGCUAGCGCGCAUGGUUCGGGACCAUGAGGUCGCUGGUUCAAGUCCAGUCGCCCCGACCA